This is a long non-coding RNA of Panicum virgatum (switchgrass), 1646 nucleotides long. RefSeq lists it as uncharacterized. Lineage: Eukaryota; Viridiplantae; Streptophyta; Magnoliopsida; Poales; Poaceae. The transcript is spliced from 4 exons. The record is from RefSeq and is a predicted model, not a curated record.
CGAGCCGCGGGGAGGAGGAAGGGGAGCAGUGCGAGCGGGGAGGAGGAGGAGAUGGACCGGGCGGCGCCGGUGAGGAGCUCCCACACCUCCAUGGCCGACCUGCUCGCGUGGCCGCAGCCGCAGGGCCAGGGCCCCGCCCCCGCCACGCCGUCGCCGCUGCGCCGCCACGACCAGAUAGCACUCCCCCGUCUUCUCUUUCCUCCUCAGUCUCUCCCUCCACGAGUCGCUGCAUCUUCCCCGUGGCAUGCCGCGCUCGAUUGACCCACUGAGCUCGCCUCGCUCCCUUGCGCGCAGCCGUCGGAGGUGAUCAGGAAGGUGGUCUUCGGGGGCCGCCGCCGCCGCCGCGAAGCCCGCGCGGACUGCCCCCCGCCAGCAACUGGACCCAGAAUGAACACCAUGAUCCUCGUCCAUGCAUUUCCCGCGCCGCCGCCCGCCGCCCGGAGCCGCGCCGCCGACCGCCGCCGGUAGCAGGAGAAGCGCGAGGGUGAGGCCAUGAAGCUGCUCAGGGAGCAGCAGAUGCAGUGGACCGCCAAGGAGCUCCCGGCCGCAGUACCUCAAGUUCAGGUAGGAGGCCAAGGGCGUGCCACGACGGUGUGCAGAUCCCGGUGCGAUGCGGCUCGGUGGCGAUCCGCCGACCCUCGGGAGUGGUGGUGGGGUGCAGGGAGAAGCCUUGUUGUCCUUCCCUUUCUUUUCCCCAGAUCUGUCGCACAUCUUGAAGUUUCUCUUCAUUUUUCUUUGGCAAGCAGAUCCAUGAAACAUACUACCUCAUCGAUGCACCAGGCGGAACCGCGGUGAGCCUUCCGCAAGAGGGCAAGGGGUUCGAGUCUGAUUAAAAAAUUAUAUUGUACUUCAUUGGAGGUAAUAUUGUACUUUAUUGGCACUAAUAUUGUACUUCGUUUUUGCAAUUUUACUUGUCCAUUUAGGCAAUAACACUGUACUUUUCCCUAACAAUUUUGCCUAACAUUUCCUAGAUGAUGCCUGCAAGCUAUCAAAUAUGCAUUUGCUAUGAUUUCAUGGGUCAUGAACAAUAUGUAAUUGGGGUGGUCUAGUUCUAAAUAUAGGUAAUUUAACUCCGGAGAGCCUUGCUCCGGAGAGCAGAAGCGCACGAAAAGCUUGAGCACUAUGAUGAAAGCCUAUUGCUGGUUAGACUCCCCCCUCCCCCCGCGCCUGCCUGCGCGCGCUAAAACAAACAAAGUUAACUCAUAUGUAUCUUUGUGAUCCUUUGCUGUGAAAGUUGAAUGCAACAGUUGUACUAAUUUCCAAAUUUUUUUAUCUUCCUGACAGGUUGUCAUUUGUCCCCAUAGUGGCCUUUUUUCAUGGCAUGGUUGGUUCAUUAUCUGUAAUAGAAGCAUGGUGCAUACGCUACUCGUAAGUGGAGUGAUGGAUGUACACAUGUUCUUGCGGAUGAAUCAUGUUGGUUGACACCCGAGCUCCUCGAUGCAGUUACGAGAAAGAAGCAGAUUGUGUUGGGAGAAUGGUUUAAGGCAAUGGCUGAAAAGAACAUACACACAGAAAUCCCUUCUUGUACACAGUACGUUGUUGUAACUUGUUGUAUGUGAUUGUUGAGGUGAUGUUGUAACUUGUAUGUGAUUGUACGAUGCUGUAUAAUUUUUCUGUGAUUUUUUCUAUAUUUUUGGUGCUUUAUA